RNAcentral lists this ribosomal RNA (320 nucleotides) under uncultured eukaryote. Its description in RNAcentral is "partial 18S ribosomal RNA". It matches the Rfam family "Eukaryotic small subunit ribosomal RNA", at positions 1470 to 1796 of the family's 1831-position model. The record is from RNAcentral.
CCCUUAGAUGUUCUGGGCGGCCCGCGCACUACAAUGGCGUGUGCAGCGAGUGCCGAAGUAGAGUUUUCCGAGGUAUUCUUGCAAUGCUCGUUUUGAUGGGGAUAGACCCUUGCAACUGUUGGUUUUGAACGAGGAAUUCCUUGUAAGCAUGGUUUAUCAUCCGACGCUGAAUGCGUCCCUGCCCUUUGUACACACCGCCCGUCGCUCCUACCGAUGAGUGAUCCGGUGAAUAAUUCGGACUGCAGCAGUGUUCAGUUCCUGAACGUUGCAGCGGAAAGUUUAGUGAACCUUAUCACUUAGAGGAAGGAGAAGUCGUAACA